RNAcentral lists this transfer RNA (72 nucleotides) under Camelus bactrianus (Bactrian camel). It matches the Rfam family "tRNA". Rfam says of the family: Transfer RNA (tRNA) molecules are approximately 80 nucleotides in length. RNAcentral also lists the same sequence under 3 other names. Lineage: Eukaryota; Metazoa; Chordata; Mammalia; Artiodactyla; Camelidae. The record is from Rfam by way of RNAcentral.
GAGGGUAUAGCUCAGUGGCAGAGUGCAUGCUUAGCAUGCACAAGAUCCUAGGAUCAAUCCCCAGUACCUCCA